GUGGGGAAUAUUGGACAAUGGGGGGAACCCUGAUCCAGCCAUGCCGCGUGUGUGAAGAAGGCCUUUUGGUUGUAAAGCACUUUAAGCGAGGAGGAGGCUACCGAGAUUAAUACUCUUGGAUAGUGGACGUUACUCGCAGAAUAAGCACCGGCUAACUCUGUGCCAGCAGCCGCGGUAAUACUGAGGGUGCAAGCGUUAAUCGGAUUUACUGGGCGUAAAGCGCGCGUAGGUGGCCAAUUAAGUCAAAUGGGAAAUCCCCGAGCUUAACGUGGGAAUUGCAUUCGAUACUGGUUGGCUAGAGUAUGGGAGAGGAUGGUAGAAUUCCAGGUGUAGCGGUGAAAUGCGUAGAGAUCUGGAGGAAUACCGAUGGCGAAGGCAGCCAUCUGGCCUAAUACUGACACUGAGGUGCGAAAGCAUGGGGAGCAAACAGGAUUAGAAACCCCAGUAGUCC
This 451-nucleotide ribosomal RNA is filed under the name uncultured bacterium. Its description in RNAcentral is "partial 16S ribosomal RNA". It matches the Rfam family "Bacterial small subunit ribosomal RNA", at positions 354 to 796 of the family's 1533-position model. The record is from RNAcentral.